Mus pahari (shrew mouse) is the source of this 129-nucleotide small nucleolar RNA. RefSeq annotates it as small nucleolar RNA SNORA17. The record is from RefSeq and is a predicted model, not a curated record. Lineage: Eukaryota; Metazoa; Chordata; Mammalia; Rodentia; Muridae. The transcript has a single exon.
AUCCCUGACCCUGGAACCAUUGCUGUAACAUAUGUCUGUCAUUAUUCAGUGGAGGAGAGAUAGGCUAUGUCUAUGUCUACACUCAGAGUUCUGACCUUUGAAGGUCUGAAUGAUUAGUAGCUUAAUAUU